This 253-nucleotide ribosomal RNA is filed under the name uncultured bacterium. Its description in RNAcentral is "partial 16S ribosomal RNA". It matches the Rfam family "Bacterial small subunit ribosomal RNA", at positions 524 to 776 of the family's 1533-position model. The record is from RNAcentral.
UACGUAGGGUGCAAGCGUUGUCCGGAAUUCUUGGGCGUAAAGAGCUCGUAGGCGGUCUGUCGCGUCUGCUGUGAAAACUCGGGGCUUAACCCCGGGCCUGCAGUGGGUACGGGCAGACUAGAGUGCGGUAGGGGAGACUGGAAUUCCUGGUGUAGCGGUGAAAUGCGCAGAUAUCAGGAGGAACACCGGUGGCGAAGGCGGGUCUCUGGGCCGUAACUGACGCUGAGGAGCGAAAGCGUGGGGAGCGAACAGG